UUUUACAGAUACACCAUGAAGCUGCCGACCUGUACCAAAUGCCAUCGCUUGUCUACAAGCUAAAAUUAGAUCUACAGCCAUCACUUCAUUAGGAACCAGCCCACUGCUGAGCAUUUCCCGAUACAUUAUCAAUGCAUCAUUCAACCUUCCUACUUGUACAUACCCAUCAAUUAACGUACCCCAAGAAACCACAUCUUUAUCAGGAAUCCUGUCAAACAAAUCCCUAGCCAAAUCAACAAACCCAGCCUUAGCAUAUCCAUUCAACAUAACAUUCCACGUAACUAUAUUCUUCUCCGCCAUCUCAUCAAAUAACCUUCUUCCGUCCCACAAACACAACGAAACACAAUAUAUAUUCACCAAAUUAGUCAAAACAAGACCAAAACUUGCAAGACCAAUCUUAACAACAAACCCAUGAAUCACAUUCCCAUUCUUAACCCCCUUAAUACGCGAAUAAGCCGAUAUAACACUCGACAUUGUCACUUCAUUAGGCAUAACACCCGCCAACCUCAUAUCCCUAAACAGCUCAACAGCUUCACCCCAACAUUUCUUCUUAGCCAACCCCAUGAUCAUAGUCGUAUACGUAACAGCCCC
Molecule: long non-coding RNA, 591 nt
Filed under: Daucus carota (carrot)
Lineage: Eukaryota; Viridiplantae; Streptophyta; Magnoliopsida; Apiales; Apiaceae
Description: long non-coding RNA (DCAR_LNC006445)
Source: RNAcentral